RNAcentral lists this ribosomal RNA (1434 nucleotides) under uncultured bacterium. Its description in RNAcentral is "16S ribosomal RNA". It matches the Rfam family "Bacterial small subunit ribosomal RNA". The record is from RNAcentral.
CGCUAGCUACAGGCUUAACACAUGCAAGUCGAGGGGCAGCAUGGUCUUAGCUUGCUAAGGCCGAUGGCGACCGGCGCACGGGUGAGUAACACGUAUCCAACCUGCCGUCUACUCUUGGACAGCCUUCUGAAAGGAAGAUUAAUACAAGAUGGCAUCAUGAGUCCGCAUGUUCACAUGAUUAAAGGUAUUCCGGUAGACGAUGGGGAUGCGUUCCAUUAGAUAGUAGGCGGGGUAACGGCCCACCUAGUCUUCGAUGGAUAGGGGUUCUGAGAGGAAGGUCCCCCACAUUGGAACUGAGACACGGUCCAAACUCCUACGGGAGGCAGCAGUGAGGAAUAUUGGUCAAUGGGCGAGAGCCUGAACCAGCCAAGUAGCGUGAAGGAUGACUGCCCUAUGGGUUGUAAACUUCUUUUAUAAAGGAAUAAAGUCGGGUAUGGAUACCCGUUUGCAUGUACUUUAUGAAUAAGGAUCGGCUAACUCCGUGCCAGCAGCCGCGGUAAUACGGAGGAUCCGAGCGUUAUCCGGAUUUAUUGGGUUUAAAGGGAGCGUAGAUGGAUGUUUAAGUCAGUUGUGAAAGUUUGCGGCUCAACCGUAAAAUUGCAGUUGAUACUGGAUAUCUUGAGUGCAGUUGAGGCAGGCGGAAUUCGUGGUGUAGCGGUGAAAUGCUUAGAUAUCACGAAGAACUCCGAUUGCGAAGGCAGCCUGCUAAGCUGCAACUGACAUUGAGGCUCGAAAGUGUGGGGUAUCAAACAGGAUUAGAUACCCUGGUAGUCCACACGGUAAACGAUGAAUACUCGCUGUUUGCGAUAUACUGCAAGCGGCCAAGCGAAAGCGUUAAGUAUUCCACCUGGGGAGUACGCCGGCAACGGUGAAACUCAAAGGAAUUGACGGGGGCCCGCACAAGCGGAGGAACAUGUGGUUUAAUUCGAUGAUACGCGAGGAACCUUACCCGGGCUUAAAUUGCAGAUGAAUUACGGUGAAAGCCGUAAGCCGCAAGGCAUCUGUGAAGGUGCUGCAUGGUUGUCGUCAGCUCGUGCCGUGAGGUGUCGGCUUAAGUGCCAUAACGAGCGCAACCCUUGUUGUCAGUUACUAACAGGUUCCGCUGAGGACUCUGACAAGACUGCCAUCGUAAGAUGUGAGGAAGGUGGGGAUGACGUCAAAUCAGCACGGCCCUUACGUCCGGGGCUACACACGUGUUACAAUGGGGGGUACAGAGGGCCGCUACCACGCGAGUGGAUGCCAAUCCCCAAAACCUCUCUCAGUUCGGACUGGAGUCUGCAACCCGACUCCACGAAGCUGGAUUCGCUAGUAAUCGCGCAUCAGCCACGGCGCGGUGAAUACGUUCCCGGGCCUUGUACACACCGCCCGUCAAGCCAUGGGAGCCGGGGGUACCUGAAGUGCGUAACCGCGAGGAGCGCCCUAGGGUAAAACUGG